CUGACGGAGCAACGCCGCGUGAGUGAUGAAGGUUUUCGGAUCGUAAAACUCUGUUGUUAGGGAAGAACAAGUGCCAUUCGAAUAGGUUGGCACCUUGACGGUACCUAACCAGAAAGCCCCGGCUAACUACGUGCCAGCAGCCGCGGUAAUACGUAGGGGGCAAGCGUUGUCCGGAAUUAUUGGGCGUAAAGCGCGCGCAGGCGGUCCUUUAAGUCUGAUGUGAAAGCCCACGGCUUAACCGUGGAGGGCCAUUGGAAACUGGAGGACUUGAGUACAGAAGAGGAGAGUGGAAUUCCACGUGUAGCGGUGAAAUGCGUAGAGAUGUGGAGGAACACCAGUGGCGAAGGCGACUCUCUGGUCUGUAACUGACGCUGAGGUGCGAAAGCGUGGGUAGCGAACAGGAUUAGAUACCCUGGUAGUCCACGCCGUAAACGAUGAGUGCUAGGUGUUAGGGGGUUUCCGCCCCUUAGUGCUGAAGUUAACGCAUUAA
RNAcentral lists this ribosomal RNA (490 nucleotides) under Virgibacillus chiguensis. RNAcentral describes it as "bacterial SSU rRNA". It matches the Rfam family "Bacterial small subunit ribosomal RNA", at positions 383 to 863 of the family's 1533-position model. The record is from RNAcentral. Lineage: Bacteria; Bacillati; Bacillota; Bacilli; Caryophanales; Bacillaceae.